GAAGCUUGCUUCUUUGCUGACGAGUGGCGGACGGGUGAGUAAUGUCUGGGAAACUGCUUGAUGGAGGGGGAUAACUACUGGAAACGGUAGCUAAUACCGCAUAACGUCGCAAGACCAAAGAGGGGGACCUUCGGGCCUCUUGCCAUCGGAUGUGCCCAGAUGGGAUUAGCUAGUAGGUGGGGUAACGGCUCACCUAGGCGACGAUCCCUAGCUGGUCUGAGAGGAUGACCAGCCACACUGGAAAUGAGACACGGUCCAGACUCCUACGGGAGGCAGCAGUGGGAAGACUACGGGAGGCAGCAGUGUGAUCUUGUGGAUAACUCGAGCCAUCCCGGAAAUGCGCGG
This 345-nucleotide small RNA is filed under the name uncultured bacterium. Its description in RNAcentral is "bacterial SSU rRNA". The stretch from base 1 to 283 matches the Rfam family "Bacterial small subunit ribosomal RNA", at positions 75 to 358 of the family's 1533-position model. The record is from RNAcentral.